AUGGACACCAGAAAGAACCAGGAUGUAGUUUUAGCUGUAAGUUUAAAUGGCGGCGUGUGAAAUACCUCUCACGUUGACCUCGGCCGUCGUCUUCUGCUCUCCCAACACGCAGCUGUACUCCCCCACAUCCUCGGGCUGGAUGUUUUUGAUGUGCAUCUCCGCUGUCUUCCCCUUCAGCGUCAUGUGAUAUCUUCCCCCCUGAUAGAUCUGGUCCUCCGCCUUCCACCACUGCACCGGCACCCCGGCCCUGGACAGCUCGCAGCGAAGCGACACGUUGCCUCCUUCAGGGGCCUCCUGGUUCUUCAGACCCAUUUUGAAGCGAGGCCGGGCUUCGAGAGCUCACAGUUCAACGUCACGCCGUUCUCCUCCUCCACCUGCUGGUUCUUCAACUUGGUCUUGAAUGUGAUUGGAGGAGCUGCAAGGAGAAGAACCGAGGACUGGACACGGAGGAGACGUGUGUGAGUUCACCUUUCACAGUGAGCUCCGCAGUGGACUGGCUGUCUUUACUCUUGCAGGUGUAUUUCCCAGCAUCGCUCUCCUCCACGUUGUUGAUGAUGAGUUUAGUGAGACGUCCCUCCUGUUUCAUCUCAUACUUGUAUCCUGGUCUGAGGAUCACUCGGCCUUUCCUCCAGUCCACCGGAGCUGCAGGUUGGGAGAGCUCGCAGCAGAACACUCCAGCGUCUCCUUCCUUCACCUCCAGAUUCUCCAACUCUUGUUUAAAGCUCACGGGGAUUUCUGGAGAAAAGCAACAACAAAUUAAACAAAAUCUGGAAACAUU
Long non-coding RNA from Cottoperca gobio, 778 nucleotides. RefSeq lists it as uncharacterized. NCBI's taxonomy places the organism in Eukaryota, Metazoa, Chordata, Actinopteri, Perciformes, Bovichtidae. The transcript has 3 exons. The record is from RefSeq and is a predicted model, not a curated record.